This 81-nucleotide transfer RNA is filed under the name Rickettsiales bacterium. RNAcentral's name for it is "tRNA-Thr". It matches the Rfam family "tRNA". Rfam says of the family: Transfer RNA (tRNA) molecules are approximately 80 nucleotides in length. Their secondary structure includes four short double-helical elements and three loops (D, anti-codon, and T loops). The record is from RNAcentral. Lineage: Bacteria; Pseudomonadati; Pseudomonadota; Alphaproteobacteria; Rickettsiales.
GCCGUCUUAGCUCAGCUGGUAGAGCGGCGCAUUCGUAAUGCGUAGGUCNGGUCGGAGGUUCGAGUCCUCUAGACGGCACCA